RNAcentral lists this long non-coding RNA (7015 nucleotides) under Monomorium pharaonis (pharaoh ant). RNAcentral describes it as "uncharacterized LOC105827805". The record is from RNAcentral. Lineage: Eukaryota; Metazoa; Arthropoda; Insecta; Hymenoptera; Formicidae.
AAAUUGUCUUCAUCAAGUAAUCGCGAGUGACCGGCUUACGAGUUAGCUACAUAUGAUGUAUCAAUCGUAUGAUGAGUCAAAGGGAAGUAAAGAUACGUAGCGUUAAAUACAGAUUAGACGCGUUAACGUAUGAAGCGAAGAAAACUGCGCAUUUAGAAGGCUGCAUCAAAAGUUGAACGAAGUUCUUAAGAAAAAGAUUACGUUCAAGAAACUGUCCUCUCACAAGAUCCUUUUCUUCUCGUUUAACAAAGAGGACCUUGAGACCUCUUUCACAGAGUGAGAGAGAGGGAGAGAGAACAAGAGAGAGUGCCAUAAGCCUGGAGAAACGUCUGCCCGUUAACACUUGGAGUUGGAUUGAUAUAAAUAUAUGCUGAACGAGAUUAAUCAAAUUGUUAUUUCUCCGCACCGAGCGCGUGACAAAACAAACGAACGACGCAAACAGAAAGGAAAUUAUGAAUUGUCCCAGGGUGAGUCAUCGUUCCGAAAGCCGAUACCGACGCCCAUAGUUUCCGGCUACUAUUCCAACUGACCGACGAAGAAGAAAGGAGAAAAAGAUGUGUGAAGGAAGAUGCGGAAAAGCGCAGUUGAAAAAAAUCCAUUACAAAGAAGCAGCAUAUCUGACGCGAUUGUUUCAAUGGAAAUUAUGAUUCAUGAUCAACUUGCACGAUCAUCAGUUCUACCAGCUUCUCGAACCGCUUGUCAGAUCCACGGUAGAAAUGAUAAGUGAUUCCUUAUCUUCUAUAACAGAUCGAAACUUCCACGAGAUAAGAAAGCAAUUUCAAAACCAAUUUAAAACAGAGCAGCGUUGAAGCAAUGGACGACCGAUUAAAGUAACGACGUAACGAAUCUUAACGAUGAUUUAAACUCAAAAUAUCAGUGAAUCGAUAAUUUUUCAAAAAUUCCGGAAGUUUUUACCUAAUGAAUAACGUUACAAAAUGUUAUCUUAAUUUAGAUGGAUGAUGAAUUAUAAUAAUUAUGCAAGGUGACACUUGUAAAAUAUGAGUUGAUAUGGUCUAUUUGAGAUAGCUCAUUAUGAAAGGAUUGCAUAGACGUAUAAUUAACGGUGCGUCAUAUGGGUACCACAAUGUGGCUCGCGCACGAGUCACCGACAGUUCGCGCAAAUUGUCAUUAAUUAUUCUCGUGUCAAAAACACCUGUUAUCCUCUCAAAACAGAUGUUUGGUUUUACGCCUUGUCGUCCGCCGCGUUUUCCGCGCGUAUUGACGCGACUGUCUUGACAGAAUAAAAAUAGAAAAGUGUAAAAAUAUAGAAUUGCAAAUUCUUCGGGUGACACGCCUCGCGAUAUAGUUUAUUGCGCGAUUAAAACGCAUAUUAAAUACGAUAAUUUUAUAAUUGUAUAUUAAUAUAUUUCCUUUUUUUCAGGACAGUGCACACAAUUGUUCUCUCUCUCGGGGAAUCGUCGCGCGGAUUAUGUUUGUCCGUUAGCCAUGCAGGUCAAAAACCUACCUCGUCGUUGUCCACCGCUGUGUACCGGUUGUCCCUUCAUGCGGUUCUUCCUUUUCUCGAAUCACUGCUCCCGCUUACUCGCAGAGAGUCCAUCAUCUAAAAUCACAGCAUUUCAUUUCUUUUUUUGCUUCGAUCGAGAGUGUCUUUCGAAAUGCACGACUAUACGGGUCCACGUUUCUAUUUCUUAAUCGUUCCUCUGUAUUCCGGCCACGAUGUAGGUUUACUAUUCCUUUUCACUAUUCCUUUCAUUAGUAUGUGACUCAUUAUCCGUGCACACGCUCACGUGUGUGUACAUAAGUACACACGUUAUUUGCAAUUUUUCAUGUUUGUGUCUAUUUAUGCAAGUUCCGCGCAUUUGCACAAAUGAGUCAUGAAGAGAUGCGAUAUAAUUUGAGCAGUUUUUACAAUUUUUACAAAAACUGUAAGAACGAGUUAAAAAAAAAAAAAGAAACGCGUGACAUUUAUAAUGUCAGUUAUUAUUUUUAUAUAAUACGUAUUUGGCGUUUUUUUUUUUCUAGUAUGAAUCGAAAUUCUGGUAGGAAAAGGAGUUUUCACGAGAAACAAGAGCCUAGUACGCGCUGGCCGAGAGCAUUAAUGAGUUAAAGAGACACUUUGCGCGCGCGGCAACGAGCGGAGAAAGACGCGCGCGCGUGCUCCAGGGCGCGCACACACAUCGACGCGACGACGGACGCGGGCACACAGGCAAACAGGCAAGCACAACAUGAGCGAACCGUUGAUUUCACAGUUUGCGAACGCGGGCCUCUUCCUUUCUCCUCGUAGAGCACGACAUUUUCGAUGUAUAUUUUUAGGAUUCUCGAGCCCCGGGAUGCUAGGUCGCGUUUUGCGACUGGGGCUCUUAUUUUUCACUGCAGAACUGCCGACGUUUACAUACACGAAGAUAAAGAUGACGUGAAAAAAACGAUAAGAUAAAGGAGCACGAGAGACGGCGUUGUCGUCCCACCCGACGGCACAACUCGUGCCUAUGCACUGACGCGGCUCCGCUUCUCGUAGUCUCCUCCAUCGCUGUCGCUCCUUCUCUCGGUAGUGGAAAGGGGCCGGGGAAGGGGAGCAGGCCAACGCCAUCGCAGGCACCAAUUGCAACGGUUGCCAAUGCAACUGUGGAAUGUGUUAUACGUUUUGUAGACAAACUGUUUAUAAAGUCGUGCAAUUAAGACUGCGAACAUCUACCAAUCACAGUAAAAUAGAUAUAGAUUUUAUUCAAACUUAGAGUCCUACGUUAAGAAUUAUACAAAAUAAUUAAAUUUCUUUUUGAUGGUACAUUGUAGAGCCUUUGAAAAUUUUGCUACAGUUUAGAGAUUGAUAUUUAAAUAUUUAAUUACAUUGUCUAUGAUCCUAGAUUGUCUCAUUUAAUAAAAGCAUCACCUCAACUUUAAUUUAUAGGAAAAAAAUAGCAAUUAUUGGAUAAAAUAUAUAGAAAUUUAAUAUGGACAAGGAAAGAUAUUGUUCUACAAAGAAUAUUUUAAUGAAACCUUUAUUAAGAUUUUUAUCAUGCCAAAGACAAAUGACGACUUUGGCUAUACAAACAGGUAAACGUUUCCCCGGCGAGAGUCCUCCAUGCAGAUGCAAACUGUACACAAUAUGUCACAUAGAAUUUAGAGUUAAAAAAUAUUAAAAAAUACAAUAAAAUUGCACCAAUGCAGGAUAGAAUACAAAAGAAAUAUUUAUGUAUGUUUAAAUUAAACAAUAUUUUACUUAUAAAAAUAUAAUUUCUUUUUAAUGACAGCUUAUUUUGUGCCAUAAUUACACUGCCAUUUUUAGUUAUAAUAUAUUCCGUUACUUGAUUUUACUAAAUUAACUGUAUUAUUCAAUAAAAUUUUAACAUGUAAUAUACUAUCAUGAAUGAACUAUCAGUUGCAUCUGCACUAUCGACCGACUUGCGCGGGCAUCUCUACUAUCUUAAAUCACAAUGGUGACGACAAGUUUAACUAUUUAUUUGUUAAUUAGUUCCUUAAGAUUGAUCGUUACAGUUAAGCAGGUACGCACGCAUGCACGCACACACGUUCUUAGCAGUCGUAUACGUAAAAACGCGUGACGAAACGAUUCGAUGAUUGCCGAUAGUCCCUUGGCGAAUAUUCAAUGACGACAUGAUAUAGUGUUGCAUUAUGAACUUGAAAACUAUUAGUAAUUCAUAGAAUGUGAAUCUGUAGUCUAAUGAAUUUGGGACCAUAAUUAUAACAGAUGAUAAGAUGUUUCCAUUAACUUUAACGAUCAAAAUUAUCUCUGCUAGAAAAGUUGAAAAGAUAAAUAAAAAAAGAAUGAAACAACAGUAAACUGAAAGAUCAAAGAUAAAUUUUAGAAAAUUAAAAAUAUUUUUUGCAAGAUUACAUUUUUGCAAACAACGCGCAAUGAUUGCCAAGAUCAUCGGCAUUCAUUAUCGUAGAUCACACGAGGAAAUUAUAUUCCCGCGGAGCGACUCGCUUUUAUUAUUAUAUAAUUCUCCUUACCGCCAUAAGAUUAAUUUACCGCGAUCGAUUCGAGUCGCGCAAACCCGUAAAGAGAGUACCUACGUUUUCAGCAUCGCGCCGAAUGCUUAUAGGCCAUAAAAUCGUAAAAAAAUAUUCAAGCGCGAAUUCGUACGCGAGUAUUUGGUGUGGAGUGCCUCUGAUUUUUUUGCCUUCUUUUUUCGAGGCAAAAAUUGGAACGCGCGUUUACUUUCGUAUACUUUGCAGAAAAGAGUGAGAUCGCUCGCGGUCUAUCGAAUCUGAAUCGUGAGUGCGUGCAUUGCGUAGCGACUGCGCAGUUUUUUUUUUCUCGUUUUUAUAAAGAGGAACGAUUGACGAAAUAUCUACUAUUAUGUUGGAACACAGAGAGACAAUCGUUAAACAAUGCUAUCAGCCCUUAACCGACGCAAUUUUGCACAAAAUCCUUAAAAUUAACAGAUGUGUGAUCAUUAAAUGUUUCUACACUUAUACAUACAAUGUUGAAUGGAAUCAAAUUAUAUUCAUUAUUUUCAAUUAAUUGAGCAGUGUAAAUUCUUACAUUAUUUUUUUAUAAUGUGAGACAAUUGAUUCAUGUAUAAUAAGACACAUUUUUUUGUAGUUUAACAUACUUUUGUAUUCUUAAUUGACAGAGGUAAACAAACGAAUUUUGCGAAACUUAUCGAGUAAGGGCUGAGAUAAACGAUUCAAUCUCCUCUCUUCGCUUUUAUCCAAAUUAAUAAAUUUUCUAACACCCCGUACCAAUCUAUUUUGCAAAUAAAAUAUUCUGGUUUCUGUUAAAAAUCCUAAUUACAUUGACAAAUACAAUUGUGGAGAAAAUUAUAACAAAUUAUUAAGGUAUCAAAAUAUAGCUUUUAAGAAAUGUAGUUUUUAAAUCUGUAAUAUUCAUAUUACAGAUUAUUACAGUCUUAGUGUAAAUGACAAAUGAAAAAUUGACAUUAUGUAUAUUGUAAUAAGACGAUUUUAACAAUUAAUCCGGUUACGUGGCGACGGAUACGAGGCAUCGUGAAUCUGCCAUGCGAUUCGAAAUCGGCGAACGGUAAUAGUUCUUCGAAAUCGUUUACGAUGCAACAUAUGCUUCGAGAGCAUAGGAUAAAGAGAGAGAGAGAGAGAGAAAGAGAGAAAGAGAGAUUUAAAGACAAUGACAUAGAAAGUUUAAGAGAUUAAUCCGAGGAAAAAAUCUUUAGGCACACUCACACACAUACACGUACAUUUAUAUAAUUAUAUAUUUGUGUGUAUAUAUUAUGCGUAGAGCGCAAGAGUCUUUAAUUUUUUGGCAAGCAAAAUGCGGCUUCGCACUUUUAUUCGAAUUCCUGCAGGAGUCAGCAAGGGUGAAAUGAUUUGUUCAUUCUUAAUUCUUUAUGCUUAAGAAGACGAUACAAUUAAAAAAUAAAUUUGAAACGAGAUAAAAACAUAAUGUUAAGAUUUAAGAUAUAUAUGUAAAUAAUUUAGAAAACUUAGAAUAAAAAUAAAAAUUUAGAAUAUAAAUGCAUUACGUAAAAUAUUUUUUCUUGGCUUAGGCAAUUGUUAAUGUUAUUCUCAAUUUAUUACGAAGUUUGCAGUUAUUUCUAAAACUUAUUAAAGUUUGGCACGAGAAGUAUGAUAAUUAAAGAAAACUGAAUUGGCGCAAAGAAUUAAUCAAUAAAAAUUACACAUCUAUCUAUUUUCGUAUUAAUUUCGAUUAGAUUUCGACAACGUCGAUUAUCUAACCGCUUUGUACUUGUUCAACCGAUCAACAUUUUGCAGAAAGAAUGUCACAGUGCGAAUAUCAGAUCACCCUCGUAACGUCAUCAUUCAGUAUUAUGGACUCUUAAAAUUGCUUAUUUUUCUUUGUUCUUCGUACGUUUUUCGCGCAGUGUUAGUUAAUUAUAAUGUAAUCGUUAUAUCGUAAUUUAAUAGCAAAUAUAUUAUCACAUUUAGAUUGUAUUAAUUUUUAAGAUAACCAGCCAGACGUUCUUCGACGAAUUUUUCGUCUCCCCGCAACUUUUGCAGUGAACAAGAAAGUCUAUUAAUGCCCAAUUAUUUUAUAAUACUUGUUUUUACUGUCGUUUAAUUUUAUUUUCUACAACAGAAAUAAUGCGAUAACUAUAGUCAUUUAUAAAUAAAAAUCCCGUUUCGUGUUUAGAACGUUUUACUUUCGAUAAAUGUUCCAAGAAACCACAUUGUCAUCAAUAUCUUCGCAUUGAAACAUUUGACCUUUCAUUCUUUAUCCUCUCGAUCCCGUUGAUAAGAUCUCGCGAUGACGUAAUAAAUAACUGAGUUGCCUUUGUUUCGCAGAUUCCACCAAUGAACACUUAAGAGAGCAGUUCAAUUCACACUUUAAAAGAGCGCAAGCGACGCCACUCGUCGCAGCCACGUCUGUCCGUCACGGCGGUCAGUGCGGGAAGAGCAUAAAAGAGAUGGACAUCACGUCGCGCCGUGAAUUCGUUUCUACUUUCAGUCUUUCUCCACGGUCCAAUCUACGAUUCUAGCACCAUUUUGCAGCUUUCUCCGUUCGUCAUCAUCAUUAAACGACGCGAACGGGCGGUUUACCGAUCGUCAUAUUUCAUCGAAUCGGCUACGUAAUGUAACACUUGGACGUUUACAUAGCUAAUAGCAAGAUCUCGUUAGAAUUCAAAGGUUACAUUAAAUUAUCGAUGUUCGCAUGCAAUAAUCUAUACGUUUUCUAAUGUCUAAAGGGGGAAAGCCUUGUCAAUGCUGAUUUGGGAAACAAUCCGUCCUGACAUUUGACCUCUUCGAUUGACUUCAUUUCUCCAUUCAUAUCAAUUUCGUAAAUUAAUUCUCUAGCUUACCUCUUAAGGUGCUUUUAUCGUGAAAUUAUGAAUAUUCCAAUUUUCCUCGAAUUUGGAUUGACACUUUCACCCGAUUGCAAUUUUCUUCGUUUGUCUACCAAGUUCAGCACCUGUACAAGCCUUCCUGUAAAUUCUAAUAUAUCUAGAUCGCAGUAUUGACAAAAUGAGGACGUAUAAAGGACAGGCGAGUCCUAGAUUUCUUUUUCUGCAGGUCUCUCACGGCCGUUGUUCUUUUCUUCGUUCUUUGGGGUCGUUUUCGCUAGUUGGUCGCAUCCGGAUUUGAGGACGGCGAAGAUGCC